This 2773-nucleotide ribosomal RNA is filed under the name Escherichia coli. RNAcentral describes it as "bacterial LSU rRNA". It matches the Rfam family "Bacterial large subunit ribosomal RNA". Lineage: Bacteria; Pseudomonadati; Pseudomonadota; Gammaproteobacteria; Enterobacterales; Enterobacteriaceae. The record is from RNAcentral.
AGCGUACACGGUGGAUGCCCUGGCAGUCAGAGGCGAUGAAGGACGUGCUAAUCUGCGAUAAGCGUCGGUGAGGUGAUAUGAACCGUUAUAACCGGCGAUUUCCGAAUGGGGAAACCCAGUGUGUUUCGACACACUAUCAUUAACUGAAUCCAUAGGUUAAUGAGGCGAACCGGGGGAACUGAAACAUCUAAGUACCCCGAGGAAAAGAAAUCAACCGAGAUUCCCCCAGUAGCGGCGAGCGAACGGGGAGGAGCCCAGAGCCUGAAUCAGUGUGUGUGUUAGUGGAAGCGUCUGGAAAGGCGUGCGAUACAGGGUGACAGCCCCGUACACAAAAAUGCACAUAUUGUGAGCUCGAUGAGUAGGGCGGGACACGUGGUAUCCUGUCUGAAUAUGGGGGGACCAUCCUCCAAGGCUAAAUACUCCUGACUGACCGAUAGUGAACCAGUACCGUGAGGGAAAGGCGAAAAGAACCCCGGCGAGGGGAGUGAAAAAGAACCUGAAACCGUGUACGUACAAGCAGUGGGAGCCUCUUAAUGGGGUGACUGCGUACCUUUUGUAUAAUGGGUCAGCGACUUAUAUUCUGUAGCAAGGUUAACCGAAUAGGGGAGCCGAAGGGAAACCGAGUCUUAACUGGGCGUUAAGUUGCAGGGUAUAGACCCGAAACCCGGUGAUCUAGCCAUGGGCAGGUUGAAGGUUGGGUAACACUAACUGGAGGACCGAACCGACUAAUGUUGAAAAAUUAGCGGAUGACUUGUGGCUGGGGGUGAAAGGCCAAUCAAACCGGGAGAUAGCUGGUUCUCCCCGAAAGCUAUUUAGGUAGCGCCUCGUGAAUUCAUCUCCGGGGGUAGAGCACUGUUUCGGCAAGGGGGUCAUCCCGACUUACCAACCCGAUGCAAACUGCGAAUACCGGAGAAUGUUAUCACGGGAGACACACGGCGGGUGCUAACGUCCGUCGUGAAGAGGGAAACAACCCAGACCGCCAGCUAAGGUCCCAAAGUCAUGGUUAAGUGGGAAACGAUGUGGGAAGGCCCAGACAGCCAGGAUGUUGGCUUAGAAGCAGCCAUCAUUUAAAGAAAGCGUAAUAGCUCACUGGUCGAGUCGGCCUGCGCGGAAGAUGUAACGGGGCUAAACCAUGCACCGAAGCUGCGGCAGCGACACUAUGUGUUGUUGGGUAGGGGAGCGUUCUGUAAGCCUGCGAAGGUGUGCUGUGAGGCAUGCUGGAGGUAUCAGAAGUGCGAAUGCUGACAUAAGUAACGAUAAAGCGGGUGAAAAGCCCGCUCGCCGGAAGACCAAGGGUUCCUGUCCAACGUUAAUCGGGGCAGGGUGAGUCGACCCCUAAGGCGAGGCCGAAAGGCGUAGUCGAUGGGAAACAGGUUAAUAUUCCUGUACUUGGUGUUACUGCGAAGGGGGGACGGAGAAGGCUAUGUUGGCCGGGCGACGGUUGUCCCGGUUUAAGCGUGUAGGCUGGUUUUCCAGGCAAAUCCGGAAAACCAAGGCUGAGGCGUGAUGACGAGGCACUACGGUGCUGAAGCGACAAAUGCCCUGCUUCCAGGAAAAGCCUCUAAGCAUCAGGUAACAUCAAAUCGUACCCCAAACCGACACAGGUGGUCAGGUAGAGAAUACCAAGGCGCUUGAGAGAACUCGGGUGAAGGAACUAGGCAAAAUGGUGCCGUAACUUCGGGAGAAGGCACGCUGAUAUGUAGGUGAAGCGACUUGCUCGUGGAGCUGAAAUCAGUCGAAGAUACCAGCUGGCUGCAACUGUUUAUUAAAAACACAGCACUGUGCAAACACGAAAGUGGACGUAUACGGUGUGACGCCUGCCCGGUGCCGGAAGGUUAAUUGAUGGGGUUAGCGGUAACGCGAAGCUCUUGAUCGAAGCCCCGGUAAACGGCGGCCGUAACUAUAACGGUCCUAAGGUAGCGAAAUUCCUUGUCGGGUAAGUUCCGACCUGCACGAAUGGCGUAAUGAUGGCCAGGCUGUCUCCACCCGAGACUCAGUGAAAUUGAACUCGCUGUGAAGAUGCAGUGUACCCGCGGCAAGACGGAAAGACCCCGUGAACCUUUACUAUAGCUUGACACUGAACAUUGAGCCUUGAUGUGUAGGAUAGGUGGGAGGCUUUGAAGUGUGGACGCCAGUCUGCAUGGAGCCGACCUUGAAAUACCACCCUUUAAUGUUUGAUGUUCUAACGUUGGCCCGUAAUCCGGGUUGCGGACAGUGUCUGGUGGGUAGUUUGACUGGGGCGGUCUCCUCCUAAAGAGUAACGGAGGAGCACGAAGGUUGGCUAAUCCUGGUCGGACAUCAGGAGGUUAGUGCAAUGGCAUAAGCCAGCUUGACUGCGAGCGUGACGGCGCGAGCAGGUGCGAAAGCAGGUCAUAGUGAUCCGGUGGUUCUGAAUGGAAGGGCCAUCGCUCAACGGAUAAAAGGUACUCCGGGGAUAACAGGCUGAUACCGCCCAAGAGUUCAUAUCGACGGCGGUGUUUGGCACCUCGAUGUCGGCUCAUCACAUCCUGGGGCUGAAGUAGGUCCCAAGGGUAUGGCUGUUCGCCAUUUAAAGUGGUACGCGAGCUGGGUUUAGAACGUCGUGAGACAGUUCGGUCCCUAUCUGCCGUGGGCGCUGGAGAACUGAGGGGGGCUGCUCCUAGUACGAGAGGACCGGAGUGGACGCAUCACUGGUGUUCGGGUUGUCAUGCCAAUGGCACUGCCCGGUAGCUAAAUGCGGAAGAGAUAAGUGCUGAAAGCAUCUAAGCACGAAACUUGCCCCGAGAUGAGUUCU